This 73-nucleotide transfer RNA is filed under the name Actinomycetota bacterium. Its description in RNAcentral is "Actinobacteria bacterium tRNA-Lys". It matches the Rfam family "tRNA". Rfam says of the family: Transfer RNA (tRNA) molecules are approximately 80 nucleotides in length. Their secondary structure includes four short double-helical elements and three loops (D, anti-codon, and T loops). Further hydrogen bonds mediate the characteristic L-shaped molecular structure. tRNAs have two regions of fundamental functional importance: the anti-codon, which is responsible for specific mRNA codon recognition, and the 3' end, to which the tRNAs corresponding amino acid is attached (by aminoacyl-tRNA synthetases). tRNAs cope with the degeneracy of the genetic code in two manners: having more than one tRNA (with a specific anti-codon) for a particular amino acid; and 'wobble' base-pairing, i.e. permitting non-standard base-pairing at the 3rd anti-codon position. Lineage: Bacteria; Bacillati; Actinomycetota. The record is from RNAcentral.
GGGCCUUUAGCUCAGUCGGUAGAGCAACGGACUUUUAAUCCGUGGGUCGUGAGAUCGAAACUCACAGGGCCCA